RNAcentral lists this ribosomal RNA (253 nucleotides) under uncultured bacterium. RNAcentral's name for it is "partial 16S ribosomal RNA". It matches the Rfam family "Bacterial small subunit ribosomal RNA", at positions 524 to 776 of the family's 1533-position model. The record is from RNAcentral.
UACGAAGGGGGCUAGCGUUGUUCGGAAUUACUGGGCGUAAAGCGUGCGCAGGCGGCUUCCCAAGUCAGGGGUGAAAGCCCAGAGCUCAACUCUGGAAUUGCCUUUGAGACUGAGUGGCUUGAGUACGAGAGAGGUGAGUGGAAUUCCCAGUGUAGAGGUGAAAUUCGUAGAUAUUGGGAAGAACACCGGUGGCGAAGGCGGCUCACUGGCUCGUAACUGACGCUCAUGCACGACAGCGUGGGGAUCAAACAGG